CCUACGGGUGGCAGCAGUGGGGAAUAUUGGACAAUGGGCGAAAGCCUGAUCCAGCCAUGCCGCGUGUGUGAAGAAGGCCUUCGGGUUGUAAAGCACUUUCAGUGGGGAAGAAAGCCUUGGGGCUAAUACCCUCGAGGAAGGACAUCACCCACAGAAGAAGCACCGGCUAACUCCGUGCCAGCAGCCGCGGUAAUACGGAGGGUGCGAGCGUUAAUCGGAAUUACGGGCGUAAAGCGCGCGUAGGCGGUCUGAUAAGCCGGUUGUGAAAGCCCCGGGCUCAACCUGGGAACGGCAUCCGGAACUGUCAGGCUAGAGUGCAGGAGAGGAAGGUAGAAUUCCCGGUGUAGCGGUGAAAUGCGUAGAGAUCGGGAGGAAUACCAGUGGCGAAGGCGGCCUUCUGGACUGACACUGACGCUGAGGUGCGAAAGCGUGGGUAGCAAACAGGAUUAGAUACCCCGGUAGUC
This 464-nucleotide ribosomal RNA is filed under the name Vreelandella stevensii. RNAcentral's name for it is "partial 16S ribosomal RNA". It matches the Rfam family "Bacterial small subunit ribosomal RNA", at positions 338 to 795 of the family's 1533-position model. The record is from RNAcentral. Lineage: Bacteria; Pseudomonadati; Pseudomonadota; Gammaproteobacteria; Oceanospirillales; Halomonadaceae.